Long non-coding RNA from Gossypium raimondii (Peruvian cotton), 602 nucleotides. RefSeq lists it as uncharacterized. The record is from RefSeq and is a predicted model, not a curated record. NCBI's taxonomy places the organism in Eukaryota, Viridiplantae, Streptophyta, Magnoliopsida, Malvales, Malvaceae. The transcript is spliced from 2 exons.
AAUGCUCGUUCCUAUUAUCCGGGUCGGCAACUACUGAAUUUAACAGUGAACUCUCGGCGGAUCUCUCGAUGCUGAGAGUAGUUCUAAACCCAAUUCUUUUUUGAAUUCUUCUUCCUUUAUAAGAAACAUGGAAAUAACUCAACCUAACGAAUCUCUUUCCCUUAGUCUCGAGAAAGCUUCGUCCCCAAAGUUUUAAUCUUUGUGAAGCAGCUCUCAAAGGAAAGAUUCAACAUCAUCCAUGCUGCAAGAACUUUGAAUUUUGCAGAUGCUCACAUAGCUUUUACAAGAGGAUCAGAGGAUUCAAUCAAAAGGCAUUUCCACUCCGAUAUAGAAAGUUUCUAUUGUAUUUCUGAAUUGCACCAAGAUUGAAUCAUUGAAUUAUUCUCAGCAUGGUAUAUAUCCUUGGAGGAGUUGCAGGAGAUCCAACAAAGUCACUUCUUUCAAGCUUGGAAACUUGUGGGGAAGAGGGAUUAUUGUGAAUUACAAACAGUAAAGGAUGUUUAGUUUUUCUUUGGUAUCAUCAUAGCAUAGAUUGGCUCCAUGUGACAAAGGUGAACCAUUUUCAAAGGCAAAACUGCUUUCAAAAGCAAAGGUUUGAGCAA